Molecule: ribosomal RNA, 543 nt
Filed under: uncultured Glomeromycotina
Lineage: Eukaryota; Fungi; Glomeromycota
Description: SSU rRNA
Rfam family: Eukaryotic small subunit ribosomal RNA
Source: RNAcentral
UUGGAGGGCAAGUCUGGUGCCAGCAGCCGCGGUAAUUCCAGCUCCAAUAGCGUAUAUUAAAGUUGUUGCAGUUAAAAAGCUCGUAGUUGAAUUUCGGGGUUCUACCGUUGGUCGGGCUUUGUCUGUACUGGUGUGUAGAAUUUCUACCUUCUGGGGAACCAUCAUGCUAUUAAUUUAGCGUGGUGGGAAACCAGGACCUUUACCUUGAAAAAAUUAGUGUGUUCAAAGCAGGCUUAUGUCUGAAUACAUUAGCGUGGAAUAAUAGAAUAGGACGGUGGUCCUGUUUUGUUGGUUUCUGAAUCACCGUAAUGAUUAAUAGGGAUAGUUGGGGGCAUUAGUAUUCAAUUGUCAGAGGUGAAAUUCUUGGAUUUAUUGAAGACUAACUUCUGCGUAAGCAUUUGCCAAGGAUGUUUUCAUUAAUCAAGAACGAAAGUUAGGGGAUCGAAGACGAUCAGAUACCGUCGUAGUCUUAACCAUAAACUAUGCCGACUAGGGAUCGGACGAUGUUAAUUUUUCUUGACUCGUUCGGCGCCUUACGGGAAA